UACGUAGGGGGCAAGCGUUGUCCGGAAUCAUUGGGCGUAAAGAGCGCGUAGGCGGUCCGGUAAGUCCGCUCUGAAAGCCCGGGGCUCAACCCCGGGAGGCGGGCGGAUACUGUCGGGCUAGAGUCCGGAAGAGGCGAGUGGAAUUCCUGGUGUAGCGGUGAAAUGCGCAGAUAUCAGGAAGAACACCGAUGGCGAAGGCAGUUCUCUGGGCCGUAACUGACGCUGAGGAGCGAAAGCGUGGGGAGCGAACAGG
RNAcentral lists this ribosomal RNA (253 nucleotides) under uncultured bacterium. Its description in RNAcentral is "partial 16S ribosomal RNA". It matches the Rfam family "Bacterial small subunit ribosomal RNA", at positions 524 to 776 of the family's 1533-position model. The record is from RNAcentral.